UCCGAUUUAAAUAUCGGCAGUCUCGCUAGAGUCCCCGGCCGAACCGUUGGCAACUAGAGACAAGGGUUUCGCUCGUUGAGGGACUUAACCCGACAUCUCACGACACGAGCUGACGACAGUCAUGCAACACCUGUCCACGUUUCACCCUUGCGGGCAGGGUAUCCAACUUUCGUCGGACCCAUCCGUGGAUUUCAAACCCGGGUAAGGUUCUUCGCGUUGCUUCGAAUUGAACCACAUGCUCCACCGCUUGUGUGAGCCCCCGUCAAUUCCUUUGAGUUUUAGCCUUGCGACCGUACUCCCCAGGCGGGGCACUUAACACAUUUGCUUCGGCAGAGAGAGUAUCGACACCCCCUCUACCCAGUGCCCAUCGUUUACAGCUAGGACUAC
This 387-nucleotide unclassified non-coding RNA is filed under the name uncultured Planctomycetota bacterium. Its description in RNAcentral is "uncultured planctomycete contains 16S-23S intergenic spacer region". Lineage: Bacteria; Pseudomonadati; Planctomycetota. The record is from RNAcentral.